Oncorhynchus tshawytscha (Chinook salmon) is the source of this 3569-nucleotide long non-coding RNA. The record is from Ensembl. Lineage: Eukaryota; Metazoa; Chordata; Actinopteri; Salmoniformes; Salmonidae.
UAAAGUUAAAGAUAUGAUGGUCGAGGGACUAGGAUCGAUGCAGCCACAAGGAAAGAAUCUGCCUUGGACCUCACUCUGGUAUCUAGUGAUGGCAGGAUUCUGUGAGUAGGAGGUAUGGGAGGAGUCGACAGUAGGGAGUGAUCACUACUAUGCACAGUAGGCUGGAGGGAGGAGGAGGUGUCAGUGGAUGGAGUAGGCAGGUGGGUGUUUGGAAGGGCAAAGUGGGAUCAGUUUCAGGAGCUGAUGAGUGAACAGGUGAUGGGUGGAUAUGAGAGGGGAUGUGGACAGUAUGAAUAACUGGGUGAGAACAGCAUUAGUGGGGGCAGCUACUGAGGCGAUACCUAAGAGUUCAGGUAGGAGGAGGAAGAAAGCAGUCCCAUGGUGGAAGGAGGAGUGUGGAGUAGGAACUGGGCAUUUAGAGUACUAAAAAGGACACAGAACCUCCAUCAGUCUGAUUCCGUAUCAGCAGGCCCUGGUGAGGAGAACUAUCCCUCAGUCUGAUUCCGUAUCAGCAGGCCCUGGUGAGGAGAAUUAUCCCUCAGUCUGAUUCAGUAUAAACAGGCCCUGGUGAGGAGAAUUAUCCAUCAGUCGUAUUCAGUAUCAACAGGCCCUGGUGAGGAGAACUAUCCAUCAGUCUGAUUCAGUAUCAACAGGCCCUGGUGAGGAGAACUAUCCCUCAGUCUGAUUCAGUAUCAGCAGGCCCUGGUGAGGAGAACUAUCCCUCAGUCUGAUUCAGUAUCAGCAGGCCCUGGUGAGGAGAACUAUCCCUCAGUCUGAUUCAGUAUCAGCAGGCCCAGGCCCUGGUGAGGAGAACUAUCCCUCAGUCUGAUUCAGUAUCAGCAGGCCCUGGUGAGGAGAACUAUCCCUCAGCCUGAUUCAGUAUAAACAGGCCCUGGUGAGGAGAACUAUCCCUCAGUCUGAUUCAGUAUCAGCAGGCCCUGGUGAGGAGAACUAUCCCUCAGCCUGAUUCAGUAUAAACAGGCCCUGGUGAGGAGAACUAUCCCUCAGUCUGAUUCAGUAUCAGCUGGCCCUGGUGAGGAGAACUAUCCCUCAGCCUGAUUCAGUAUAAACAGGCCCUGGUGAGGAGAACUAUCCCUCAGUCUGAUUCAGUAUCAGCUGGCCCUGGUGAGGAGAACUAUCCCUCAGUCUGAUUCAGUAUCAGCUGGCCCUGGUGAGGAGAACUAUCCCUCAGUCUGAUUCAGUAUCAGCAGGCCCUGGUGAGGAGAACUAUCCCUCAGUCUGAUUCAGUAUCAGCAGGCCCUAUUGAGGAGAACUAUCCUGCAGUCUGAUUCAGUAUAAACAGGCCCUAUUGAGGAGAACUAUCCCUCAGCCUGAUUCAGUAUAAACAGGCCCUGGUGAGGAGAACUAUCCCUCAGUCUGAUUCAGUAUAAACAGGCCCUGGUGAGGAGAACUAUCCCUCAGUCUGAUUCAGUAUCAGCAGGCCCUGGUGAGGAGAACUAUCCCUCAGUCUGAUUCAGUAUCAGCAGGCCCUGGUGAGGAGAACUAUCCCUCAGUCUGAUUCAGUAUCAACAGGCCCAGGCCCUGGUGAGGAGAACUAUCCCUCGGGCAAAGAGGUCAUGUUGGUGUCAUUUCUGUGACACCAUUGGAAGGGCGACACCUGUGGGAGAGGUGUGGGGGAUGCUUAAGAGGAUGAGUGGGGUUAGAAGCGAGUGGGAUUAUACAGUGUUGGCGAGUGGGAAGGAUGUGGCAGUAACAGAUGAGAAGGCAGAGAUGAUGGCGAAAGUGUUUGUCCAAGUGAAUAGCUCUGUAAAUUUGUCAGAGGAGGGGCAGAGGGGGAGAGAGAGAGCGAGAGAGGAGCUUCCUGGAGUGUUGGAUAGGAGGGAGGAUGUAAAUGAUACGUUGAAUGUGUCAUGGCUGAGGUCAAAAGGGCAAUAGGUACGGCUGGGUUAACUUCACCUGGGAAAGAUGAGGUGUGUUAUAUUAUGUUGGCCCAUCUUAGUGAUGAGGCACUGGAUAAGGUAUUGGUGUUGUACAACAGAGUGUGUGAGGAGGGGAAACUACCAGGUAGCUGGAAGAAGGCAGUAGUGGUACCAAUCCGGAAACCAGGAAAGGACCCAAUGAGGCCAACAAGCUAUCAGCCAAUAGCUUUAACAUCACAAGUAUGUAAGAUUAAGAACAAUGGACCCAGUGCUCUGAUUGGAAGGAGAGAUCAGGAAGAGGAGGGGAACUAUGGACCCAGUGCUCUGAUUGGAAGGAGAGGUCAGGAAGGGGAACUAUGGACACAGUGCUCUGAUUGGAAGCAGAGGUCAGGAAGGCUCAGGUGAACAAGGAGACUGUUGUAGCUGUAUUAUUUGAUGUGGAGAAGGUGUAUGAUGUGGAAGGAGGGGUCAGGAAGGCUCAGGUGAACAAGGAGACUGUUGUAGCUGUAUUAUUUGAUGUGGAGAAGGUGUAUGAUGUGGAAGGAGGGGUUGUUAAUCAAGGUGGAUAUUAUGGGGGUAGGAGGAAGAACACACCACUGGAUAAAGGACUUCCUGUUUGGAAGGUCUAUCCAGGUGAGGGUGGGGAAGUCUCUAUCACCCAGCUACCCUGUGGAUAACGAUACACCGCAGGGGAGCGUGAUUAGUCUUCUGUUGUUCUCAAUCGUGAUCAAUGAUGUUUACUCUCAUGUACGGACGGAUAUUGGGAGGUCGUUAUUUACAGAAGAUGGGGCCUUAUGGAAGAGGGGAAGAAAUGUGCCAUACAUAGUCAGGAAGGUACAGGAAGCAAUUGAUGAGGUAGAGUGGUGGGCAUUAAUGUGGGGAUUCAGGUUCUCUGUAGAGAAAACUCAGUUCUUUACCAGGAGGAAGGUGGGAGAUGAGGUAUGCUUGAGGUUAUAUGGGAGAAACUUGGAGAGGGUGGGGUCCUUCAGGUUCCUUGGGGUAAACUUUGACCCUAGACUGACCUGGGCAGAACACAUUGAGAGAGUGGUGGAAACGUGUAAGAAGGUGCUAAAUGUGAUGCGCUGUCUGACGGGGAAGGAGUGGGGGGCUGGACGUUCCUCAUUGAGGACCAUGUAUGUUGCACUGAUCCGGUCUGACAGGGAAGGAGUGGAGGGGGGGCUGGGCGUUCCUCAUUGAAGACCAUGUAUGUUGCAUUGAUCCAGUCUGACGGGGAAGGAGUAGGGAGCUGGGCAUUCCUCAUUGAGGACCAUGUAUGUUGCAUUGAUCCGGUCUGACGGGGAAGGAGUGGAGGGGCUGGGCGUUCCUCAUUGAGGACCAUGUAUGUUGCAUUGAUCCGGUCUGACGGGGAAGGAGUAGGGAGCUGGGCAUUCCUCACUGAGGACCAUGUAUGUUGCAUUGAUCCGGUCUGAUGGGGAAGGAGUGGGGGCUGGGCGUUCCUCAUUGAGGACCAUGUAUGUUGCAUUGAUCCGGUCUGACAGGGAAGGACUGGGGGCUGGGCGUUCCUCAUUGAGGACCAUGUAUGUUGCACUGAUCUGAUCUGUAAUAGACUGUGGCAGCAUAGCGUAUGGUUCAGCAUCCCGGACAUCAUUGGAAAGUCAUACAGGGGCAAGGACUCAGAAUAUGUAGUGGGGUGUUUCGGACCUCCCCAGUGACUGAACUACAGGUGGA